AUACGGAGGAUGCAAGCGUUAUCCGGAUUUAUUGGGUUUAAAGGGUUCGUAGGCGGAAAAUUAAGUCAGUGGUGAAAGCCUGCAGCUCAACUGCAGAACUGCCAUUGAUACUGAUUUUCUUGAAUUUAUAUGAAGUGGGCGGAAUGCGUCAUGUAGCGGUGAAAUGCACAGAUAUGUCGCAGAACACCAAUUGCGAAGGCAGCUCACUAAUGUAAUAUUGACGCUGAGGAACGAAAGCAUGGGGAGCGAACAGGAUUAGAAACCCUAGUAGUCC
This 274-nucleotide ribosomal RNA is filed under the name uncultured bacterium. Its description in RNAcentral is "partial 16S ribosomal RNA". It matches the Rfam family "Bacterial small subunit ribosomal RNA", at positions 523 to 796 of the family's 1533-position model. The record is from RNAcentral.